RNAcentral lists this long non-coding RNA (754 nucleotides) under Oryza sativa tropical japonica subgroup. Its description in RNAcentral is "lncRNA OsKeNa_02g0008440". The record is from RNAcentral. Lineage: Eukaryota; Viridiplantae; Streptophyta; Magnoliopsida; Poales; Poaceae.
CAUGGCAUCAUCAGCAAUUCCCAGUUCAUUCCUGCCUCCGUCUCCAGUAGCUUGCUUUGCUCGCAGAUUGUUCCUUUUUUCUUUUUCUCCGGCGACUCGAGAUCGUGGCUAGCUAGAGCCUAGAUGGCCUCUUCCAUGGCGGGCGCGGCGGGGGAGGAGAAGGCGGCGGCGGGGGGCGGGGCGGCGGGGGAUGAUCGUGAUCGACCGGCAGGCCGUCGACCGGGGGAUCGCCUACGCGCUCAUGGUCGUCGCGCUCGUCGCCACCUACGCGCUCCACUAGCUCGAUCAAUCGGCUCAGGGAGGAGGAGGAGGAGAAGAAGAAGUCGUUCCCCUUCCCCUACCAACCUGCACUUCGAUCGAUCGAUGCCAAAAGUCUAUAACUAUAGAACCUGAUUCUUUCUUAUUCAAUUCUUCUUUUUAGAGAAGGUUAAUUAAUUGUGUGUGUGUGUGUGUGAGAGAGAGAGAGAGAGAGAGAGAUCGAUGGAUAAUUUGGAUAUGUACACUAUACCAAGUGGGUUAAUUAACUGGAUGUACUCUUCUGCAUAUUUUGGUGUUCAUUGGUAACAGUUUGGCAUUGGAAUGUCUGGUAAAUCGAUGAUUUACCCCUUUCGCCUCCAAAUACAGAUUUAAAUAUUAUUUUGUACUAGAGAAGUAGAAAUGUAGUGAUAUUUUCGGGAGCAGUUGAUAAUCUGAAUGCUCUGCCACAUCUUCACAGGUUGAACAAUCAAAUUACGUAUUGGCUGGUUAUACUUGU